UACAGAGGGUGCGAGCGUUAAUCGGAAUUACUGGGCGUAAAGCGCGCGUAGGCGGCUUCGCAAGUCGGAUGUGAAAUCCCCGGGCUUAACCUGGGAACUGCAUUCGAGACUGCGUUGCUAGAGUAUGGGAGAGGGAAGUGGAAUUUCAGGUGUAGCGGUGAAAUGCGUAGAUAUCUGAAGGAACAUCAGUGGCGAAAGCGACUUCCUGGACCAAUACUGACGCUCAUGUGCGAAAGCGUGGGGAGCAAACAGG
This 253-nucleotide ribosomal RNA is filed under the name uncultured bacterium. RNAcentral describes it as "partial 16S ribosomal RNA". It matches the Rfam family "Bacterial small subunit ribosomal RNA", at positions 524 to 776 of the family's 1533-position model. The record is from RNAcentral.